Molecule: transfer RNA, 71 nt
Filed under: Stegodyphus mimosarum
Lineage: Eukaryota; Metazoa; Arthropoda; Arachnida; Araneae; Eresidae
Rfam family: tRNA
About the family: Transfer RNA (tRNA) molecules are approximately 80 nucleotides in length. Their secondary structure includes four short double-helical elements and three loops (D, anti-codon, and T loops).
Source: Rfam by way of RNAcentral
GCCUUCAUGGUGUAACGGUAGUACACUCGGCGCGUGUUCCAGAGGUCCAGGUUCGAGUCCCGGUGAGGGCA